GGUGACAUAGCUAAUUAGGAAAGGCGAGAGAUUAGCAUAACCCUCUGAGUGACGGUUCGAAUCCGUCUGUCACCU
RNAcentral lists this transfer RNA (75 nucleotides) under Bacillus pseudomycoides. RNAcentral describes it as "tRNA-OTHER". It matches the Rfam family "tRNA". Rfam says of the family: Transfer RNA (tRNA) molecules are approximately 80 nucleotides in length. Their secondary structure includes four short double-helical elements and three loops (D, anti-codon, and T loops). The record is from RNAcentral. Lineage: Bacteria; Bacillati; Bacillota; Bacilli; Caryophanales; Bacillaceae.